GAAAUGCGAUAAGUAAUGUGAAUUGCAGAAUUCAGUGAAUCAUCGAAUCUUUGAACGCACAUUGCGCCCAUUAGUAUUCUAGUGGGCAUGCCUGUUCGAGCGUCAUUACAACCCUCAAGCCUGGCUGCUUGGUGUUGGGAGCUCACCGUAAAGGUGAUUCCUUAAAGAUAUUGGCGGAGUCUAGCUGAACUCUGAGCGUAGUAAUUCUUUUCUCGCUUCUGAAAUCUGCUGGGCAACGGCCACAAACCAACUAUUAUAUCUAGUGAUUGACCUCGGAUCAGGUAGGAAUACCCGCUGAACUUAA
Molecule: unclassified non-coding RNA, 304 nt
Filed under: uncultured Ascomycota
Lineage: Eukaryota; Fungi; Ascomycota
Description: sequence contains ITS1
Rfam family: 5.8S ribosomal RNA (bases 1-105)
Source: RNAcentral